Molecule: ribosomal RNA, 465 nt
Filed under: Vreelandella stevensii
Lineage: Bacteria; Pseudomonadati; Pseudomonadota; Gammaproteobacteria; Oceanospirillales; Halomonadaceae
Description: partial 16S ribosomal RNA
Rfam family: Bacterial small subunit ribosomal RNA
Source: RNAcentral
CCUACGGUCGGCAGCAGUGGGGAAUAUUGGACAAUGGGCGAAAGCCUGAUCCAGCCAUGCCGCGUGUGUGAAGAAGGCCUUCGGGUUGUAAAGCACUUUCAGUGGGGAAGAAAGCCUUGGGGCUAAUACCCUCGAGGAAGGACAGCACCCACAGAAGAAGCACCGGCUAACUCCGUGCCAGCAGCCGCGGUAAUACGGAGGGUGCGAGCGUUAAUCGGAAUUACUGGGCGUAAAGCGUGCGUAGGCGGUUUGAUAAGCCGGUUGUGAAAGCCCCGGGCUCAACCUGGGAACGGCAUCCGGAACUGUCAGGCUAGAGUUCAGGAGAGGAAGGUAGAAUUCCCGGUGUAGCGGUGAAAUGCGUAGAGAUCGGGAGGAAUACCAGUGGCGAAGGCAGCCUUCUGGACUGAGACUGACGCUGAGGUGCGAAAGCGUGGGUAGCAAACAGGAUUAGAUACCCGGGUAGUC